RNAcentral lists this ribosomal RNA (317 nucleotides) under uncultured bacterium. RNAcentral's name for it is "bacterial SSU rRNA". It matches the Rfam family "Bacterial small subunit ribosomal RNA", at positions 28 to 342 of the family's 1533-position model. The record is from RNAcentral.
GAUGAACGCUAGCGGCAGGCUUAAUACAUGCAAGUCGAGGGGCAGCGCGGGUAGCAAUACCUGGCGGCGACCGGCAAACGGGUGCGGAACACGUACGCAACCUUCCUUUAAGUGGAGAAUAGCCCGGGGAAACCCGGAUUAAUACUCCGUAAUAUUAUGAAGUGGCAUCACUUUAUAAUUAUAGAUUUAUCGCUUAAAGAUGGGCGUGCGCCUGAUUAGGUAGUUGGCGGGGUAAUGGCCCACCAAGCCUCCGAUCAGUAACUGGUGUGAGAGCACGACCAGUCACACGGGCACUGAGACACGGGCCCGACUCCUAC